UGGCUCAGUGGUUAAGAGCACUGGUUGCUCUUCCAGAGGACCUGGAUUCAAUUUCCAG
This is a non-coding RNA of Rattus norvegicus (Norway rat), 58 nucleotides long. The record is from Rfam. NCBI's taxonomy places the organism in Eukaryota, Metazoa, Chordata, Mammalia, Rodentia, Muridae.